RNAcentral lists this ribosomal RNA (67 nucleotides) under uncultured Herpotrichiellaceae. Its description in RNAcentral is "partial 5.8S ribosomal RNA". It matches the Rfam family "5.8S ribosomal RNA", at positions 49 to 115 of the family's 154-position model. From Rfam's summary of the family: 5.8S ribosomal RNA (5.8S rRNA) is a component of the large subunit of the eukaryotic ribosome. It is transcribed by RNA polymerase I as part of the 45S precursor that also contains 18S and 28S rRNA. RNAcentral also lists the same sequence under 1 other name. The record is from RNAcentral. Lineage: Eukaryota; Fungi; Ascomycota; Eurotiomycetes; Chaetothyriales; Herpotrichiellaceae.
CGAAAUGCGAUAAGUAAUGUGAAUUGCAGAAUUCAGUGAAUCAUCGAAUCUUUGAACGCAUAUUGCG